Diabrotica virgifera virgifera (western corn rootworm) is the source of this 955-nucleotide long non-coding RNA. RefSeq lists it as uncharacterized. The record is from RefSeq and is a predicted model, not a curated record. The transcript has 2 exons. NCBI's taxonomy places the organism in Eukaryota, Metazoa, Arthropoda, Insecta, Coleoptera, Chrysomelidae.
GGCUGGACAGCUGAGCCAGCAGUAGCUGUCAGACGUCACCGCUGGAAGCCAGCCGCUGAGAGAUUAGGUCUGUUCCUUUGUUUUUUAGUGUUACACUUUUGAGUGUAAGUGUAAGAAAUUCUAUGGACAUUUGAGUGUAAAAUGACAGCGGAUGUGACAGCGGCUCAUGACAGCGGACAGUAUUAAACGAAAAUUAUCGGUGUGCCAAUCAAGCAAAGGAACAAGGAACUUCCGAAUAUGGCCUAACUGGGGGCACAUAACAUAACCUAAUCGAUCCUAAUAUUUACAUUUGUAAAGAAUAUCCUGUUUGUUUUUAUUGUCGAUUGUGCAGCGAAAUUGUGAUAGCAAAUCAAAUAUAAAGUAGUUUAUCGCCUACAGAACUGAAUUAGUCCAUAGCAGUUAUCAGUUUUUCUUUCUUGGGAAGCUUAUACAUGUAACUUUUAUUGUUGUAAAUUGUGCGAGUAGGGCAGACAGGGAAAAGUCUUAUUUUGUACUGUUCCCAAGGCUCCCCAUGCAAUACAUUUAAAUGAAUUAUCCAAACAAAGCCGGGGACAAUGGAUAAAAGCCACAAGAAGAACAGAUAUAAGGGAACUAAAAUUAAAAUAUGAAAAGUAAACAUUUUAUAAGUGGAACAACCACCAGAUAUUUAAAAGGUAUAAAAAGAAGAAACUGCUGGAAUUUCAAAACAAAUGUGUUUGACUAGUAAAGAUUUGGAUAAAUAACAGGAGUUACUUUGGGCUAUAGCUACGUGCAGAUUUAUUUCCUUGUGGCUUCCUAUGUUAAUUCUUAUUAAUUAUACACUUAAAUAUGUUUUUAGUCUCAGGAAGAUUUUAUAUUUGAUUAUUUUUGAAUAAACAUUAUUAUUAUUAUUACCUUAAUUUCCAUUAAAUAAAUUUACUGUAAUCAAUAAAGUAAUCGUUUAAUUGUUAAUAAAUUAUCAAGUAUGAUUCCCAAA